Long non-coding RNA from Scylla paramamosain (green mud crab), 775 nucleotides. RefSeq lists it as uncharacterized. The transcript has 4 exons. The record is from RefSeq and is a predicted model, not a curated record. Lineage: Eukaryota; Metazoa; Arthropoda; Malacostraca; Decapoda; Portunidae.
GAUUCGAUGUUGAUAAGGAAGAGUUAUAAAAAUAACAAACUGCUAUCUUAUAUAAUAAAGUAUCAAUAAUCAGAAAGAAAAUACUGGAUUAACUAAUGAAAUAAUUAAAAGUUACUAUAUGUCGUCAAUCAUGUGAACAUGUAAGUGUAUUUCAAAGAUGUUAUUUACCACAGAAUAAUGUUUACACCGCGCCAGCCUCUUUCCUGAUCCUGUUUAAAGUUACAGGAUGUGUUAUCUUCUCUUCCUGCACCUGCUAUUGAUUCUACUCCUCCAGAAGCAAGGAACUGCCAGUCCAGUACAUCACAGGAGGCAUUGCUAUUGGGCAGCAAAAAAAAUUCACCCUUCAGGAAGAUAUUUGACCACAGUCUGCAGAAGAUGUGUGAGUCAGACCUGAUGAACAAGCUGAGGACCAAAUGGCUAUUAGCAGGAACCUCAACAUGUGGCAGGAAGACUAAAAAUCACAGCCAGCCUCUCUGAUGUGGCUGCAGUCUUCAUCCUCUUGAUGGGUGGUGCAGCAUUUAGCUGUCUGCUGCUGCUGCUGCUGCUGCUGCUGCUGCUGGAGUAUGGGGUACAACAUGCAAGACAGAGGUGGUGGAUGAUGAGUUCCUGGGGAUUGCUGACCUCAAUGAAGCACAGACAUAACAAGAGAUGGGAGACCUGCACUGUUAAAGCCUUAAGCAUUCUAAUCACAUUCCAUGUAACUCUCUUCACUCUUAGAUCCCUUAUUGGGUAUUCUUAUGUAUAGUUGCUCGCAAAUAUGGAGUUUAGUUAUAAC